AUCCAGCUGACGAGUCUCAAAUAGGACGAAAUCCGCAUCCGGAU
This 44-nucleotide non-coding RNA is filed under the name Trichobilharzia regenti. Lineage: Eukaryota; Metazoa; Platyhelminthes; Trematoda; Strigeidida; Schistosomatidae. The record is from RNAcentral.